GCGGCGGUCGCUCGGCAACGGGGCAGCCGCGCUGGGCCGCACUAUUCAGCGGCUGGGCAGGAUCCCAACAGCGGCACUCCGGAUCCUCUGACGAUGAAAAAGGUAAAAUAGAGCAUAUUUCUCCUCACAAUUCACAUGUACAUCAGUCUGUUUGGACAGUGAGAGCUGAGCACAAACCAAAAAACCAUGUCUGCUUGCACAUCAGAGGGUCUAAACAUGAUGCACCUCUGGAGAAGCACUCUGUAAAGUUUCCUGGGAACAGCAAAUGAGUGGAAAAGGUUUCCCAGCUUUCCCUGUCUGUCCCACUGGGCUGACAUCUGCUGUGAGUAAAACAAUGGUUUGCACAGCAUUGACUCUCCAGACUCCUGGGCCUAUUUUGGAAAAAGCACCACACUCCAAAGUACAUCCAGAAGCAAAGCUCUCUCAAUUACAUAAAUGCAAGAAAGAGUGCUGGCUUUCAGGGGAAGAUGCUGCAAUAUGAAUGGAAUAAUAAAAUACUCCUUCAGCCAAAGGAAGAGAGAGAAGGACUUGGCGUCCCACAGAGAUGAUGCAGCGUUGUCAGUGUGGUUUCUUCAGACUACUACAGCGACCAUUGUCUGUCUGCCUCUCAGACCCCCUCUCAACAGUUUGUUUAACCCUUUGAUAUUUCCAACCAAGCUCUGUGGGGAAGCAGAUGUCUUCAAGAAAUGAAAAUCACUACAAGUUUAGUGUGGACUGGGGCAAGGAAGACUGAAGCAUUUGCCAUUUGAGGGGGAAAGGAUGCUGUGUGAGUGUGCUGGAUGAGCAGGACAGAGCCAGUGUGGGGUUAAGCAAAUGCUGCCGCUUGCCUGACUGCUGCUCUGGGAAUGUGGGGAGAGGUGAGGGUGGUGUGCAGGGAAAGUGGGAGCAUUGCAACUCAAUGAUCUUCAUGAAGCACAUCUAGAGAUGAGCUGGAGUCAGGAUAGGCAUGGAAUGGGCAGCACUUGCUAGGCAACCCAAAUUCCUUCAUUGUGCUGCUCAGCGGAUAACUUAUUUAAUCCAAUGGCGGGAUUUGCAGUGCACAGGCAAUUGGCCAUAUAUUUUUCCUAGUCAUUGACUUUACUGGUAAACCUGGAGCUCAUCUGUGUUCUGGGCAGCCCUUCAUUAAAUUUGACCUGUCUGGUGAUGGAAAAUUGGAAUAGGUGGUAAAAGAUGUUUUGAGACAAACUGAGGACUGCCGUGCUUUGAGAUAAUGGUACACAGUGCAAAUUUUGGCUCUUUUUUGAAGCUGUAUUCAGCCUGUGCUAGAAGUGAAUGUAACCAUCAAGGGCUUGGAGUGCUUGCCUUGGUAUCUGGGAGCUCAUACCCAGCUAAGCACACAGCCCCUUUACAAUAGUUUUGCCAGAGAAAAAAAAGCCAGGAACAAUAAAGAGUCUCUGCUGACAGGCGAGGGGACUGCCAAGGAACUAUCUUUGGGAAAU
Long non-coding RNA from Passer domesticus (house sparrow), 1439 nucleotides. RefSeq lists it as uncharacterized. The transcript is spliced from 4 exons. Lineage: Eukaryota; Metazoa; Chordata; Aves; Passeriformes; Passeridae. The record is from RefSeq and is a predicted model, not a curated record.